UGAAAGUCAUUAUCAUCUCGGCUGAGGGGCCUGUGUUUUCUUCUGGGCAUGACUUAAAGGAGCUGACAGAGGAGCAAGGCCGUGAUUACCAUGCCGAAGUAUUUCAGACCUGUUCCAAGCAAUAGGCAUUAAUGUCGUGCCUCCCUCUGGGUGGAAAUGAAGUAGGUGUGUUUGUCCCGCAGGUCAUGAUGCACAUCCGGAACCACCCCGUCCCCGUCAUUGCCAUGGUCAAUGGCCUGGCCACGGCUGCCGGCUGUCAACUGGUUGCCAGCUGCGACAUUGCCGUGGCGAGCGACAAGUCCUCUUUUGCCACUCCUGGGGUGAACGUCGGGCUCUUCUGUUCUACCCCUGGGGUUGCCUUGGCAAGAGCAGUGCCUAGAAAGGUAAUUUAACUCCCCCCACCCACCUCUGCCUCCCAGCCUUCUCCAGAGUUCCUCCUCCAGUGCAUGCGAUGAUUCAAGAUCUGCUUGUUAAAAGUGCCUUUCAUAUCAGGACGUUCUGCCCA
Molecule: small RNA, 505 nt
Filed under: Pan troglodytes (chimpanzee)
Lineage: Eukaryota; Metazoa; Chordata; Mammalia; Primates; Hominidae
Description: processed transcript
Source: RNAcentral